RNAcentral lists this ribosomal RNA (374 nucleotides) under cyanobiont of Amphisolenia globifera. Its description in RNAcentral is "bacterial SSU rRNA". It matches the Rfam family "Bacterial small subunit ribosomal RNA", at positions 376 to 767 of the family's 1533-position model. Lineage: Bacteria; Bacillati; Cyanobacteriota. The record is from RNAcentral.
CGAAAGCCUGACGGAGCAAUACCGCGUGAGGGAUGAAGGAUUUUGGUCUGUAAACCUCUCUUCUCAAGAAAGAAGUUCUGACGGUACUUGAGAAUAAGCAUCGGCUAACUCCGUGCCAGCAGCCGCGGUAAUACGGGGGAUGCAAGCGUUAUCCGGAAUCAUUGGGCGUAAAGCGCCUGUAGGUUGUUUAGUAAGUCUGUUGUUAAAAACCAGGGCUUAACCCUGGGAAAGCAAUGGAAACUACUAGACUUGAGUAUGGCAGGGGAGAGGGAAUUUCUAGUGUAGCGGUGAAAUGCGUAGAUAUUAGAAAGAACACCGGCGGCGAAAGCGCUCUACUGGACCAUUACUGACACUCAGAGGCGAAAGCUAGGGGA